GAUGAAGAACGCAGCGAAAUGCGAUAAGUAAUGUGAAUUGCAGAAUUCAGUGAAUCAUCGAAUCUUUGAACGCACAUUGCGCCCGCCAGUAUUCUGGCGGGCAUGCCUGUUCGAGCGUCAUUUCAACCCUCAAGCCCAGCUUGGUGUUGGGAUCUGUCCUUACCGACAGUCCCCAAAUUGAUUGGCGGUCACGUCGAGCUUCCAUAGCGUAGUAAUUUACACAUCGUUACUGGUAAUCGUCGCGGCCACGCCGUUAAACCCCAACUUCUGAAUGUUGACCUCGGAUCAGGUAGGAAUACCCGCUGAACUUAAGCAUAUCAAUAAGCGGAGGA
This 332-nucleotide unclassified non-coding RNA is filed under the name soil metagenome. RNAcentral's name for it is "partial contains 5.8S ribosomal RNA, internal transcribed spacer 2, and large subunit ribosomal RNA". The stretch from base 1 to 120 matches the Rfam family "5.8S ribosomal RNA", at positions 35 to 154 of the family's 154-position model. The record is from RNAcentral.